GUCUAAUAACUUACACGCGGAGAUGUAUGUUACUUAAUUUUGUUUUCUGUGCUUCCUUCUGCCACCAUUUCCCCAAGAGUCCAGUUAAAGUCUUCCAAAUGGAACUGGCUUGUGACAGUGGUGCUUAGAGGACAGGAAGAAGCAGGCUUGCACUGAAGUAUCCAGCCUGGACUGAAGUCGUGUGGCAGGAAGAUGGCUGCUGUGGGCGCCAGGAGGAGCUGGGUGGAGUAGCAAGAGUGGAGAAGAAAAAGCACACGGAAGAGGGGAGCACUCCAGUAAAAAGAACAGCUCUCCAGCACCUUACAAAGGGAACUGGAAGGAAAAACCUUCCAUCAAUGUGUGAGAUGGCUCGCGCUCUCCUUGCUUCCUCCAUUUCACAGUUGGAGACACCACGACCAGAGCAUGGUGAAAAUUAAUAAGGAGAGGGGUGCCGAGUCCACCCUGCUGGGGUGUGGGAAGCAGAAGCCCUGACCAUUCAGAGAUGGAUUUACAGAAGCAGGAACUGAAGACAAAGCAGGAGGUCUUCAAAAUAACUCUCAGAGAAGCUUCUUUGAUGAGCUGAGGCAAUUCAGCAACUUCGGCACUGCGCACUCGUGCUCGUAAAUCACCAGUAUUUGCAGGCGUUGCAAGCUGUCUCCCAAUAUGCAGUUAAAAAAAUAUUCUCACUGCAGUAGCACUAAAGAUCUACUGCCAGUUAUUUUGCUUCAGUACCUUGCAUCUUAAGGGACAAUUUGAUUUUUGC
This 742-nucleotide long non-coding RNA is filed under the name Pan paniscus (pygmy chimpanzee). RNAcentral describes it as "lncRNA (ENSPPAG00000044355.1)". The record is from RNAcentral. Lineage: Eukaryota; Metazoa; Chordata; Mammalia; Primates; Hominidae.